RNAcentral lists this ribosomal RNA (551 nucleotides) under uncultured bacterium. Its description in RNAcentral is "bacterial SSU rRNA". It matches the Rfam family "Bacterial small subunit ribosomal RNA", at positions 355 to 896 of the family's 1533-position model. The record is from RNAcentral.
UGGGGAAUAUUGCGCAAUGGGCGAAAGCCUGACGCAGCGACGCCGCGUGGGUGAUGAAGGCCUUCGGGUCGUAAAACCCUGUCGGGUGGAACGAAUUCCCGCCUCGCUAAUACCGAGGUGGCUUGACGGUACCACCGAAGGAAGCCCCGGCUAACUACGUGCCAGCAGCCGCGGUAAUACGUAGGGGGCGAGCGUUGUUCGGAUUUACUGGGCGUAAAGAGCGCGUAGGCGGUUCGAUUAGUCGGAGGUGAAAUCCCUCGGCUUAACCGAGGACCCGCGUCCGAUACUGUCGAACUUGAGUGCAGGAGAGGAGAGCGGAAUUCCCAGUGUAGCGGUGAAAUGCGUAGAUAUUGGGAGGAACACCGGUGGCGAAGGCGGCUCUCUGGACUGUCACUGACGCUGAGGCGCGAAAGCUAGGGGAGCAAACGGGAUUAGAUACCCCGGUAGUCCUAGCCGUAAACGAUGGGCACUAGGUGUGGGAGGUAUCGACCCCUUCCGUGCCGCAGCUAACGCAUUAAGUGCCCCGCCUGGGGAGUACGGCCGCAAGGUUG